RNAcentral lists this ribosomal RNA (488 nucleotides) under uncultured bacterium. Its description in RNAcentral is "partial 16S ribosomal RNA". It matches the Rfam family "Bacterial small subunit ribosomal RNA", at positions 30 to 523 of the family's 1533-position model. The record is from RNAcentral.
AUUGAACGCUGGCGGCAUGCCUUACACAUGCAAGUCGAACGGUAACAGGUUAAGCUGACGAGUGGCGAACGGGUGAGUAAUAUAUCGGAACGUGCCCAGUCGUGGGGGAUAACGUAGCGAAAGCUACGCUAAUACCGCAUACGAUCUACGGAUGAAAGCGGGGGAUCGCAAGACCUCGCGCGAUUGGAGCGGCCGAUAUCAGAUUAGGUUGUUGGUGAGGUAAAAGCUCACCAAGCCUGCGAUCUGUAGCUGGUCUGAGAGGACGACCAGCCACACUGGAACUGAGACACGGUCCAGACUCCUACGGGAGGCAGCAGUAAGGAAUAUUGGACAAUGGACGCAAGUCUGAUCCAGCCAUGCCGCGUGAAGGAUUAAGGUCCUCUGGAUUGUAAACUUCUUUUAUAAGGGACGAAAAAAGGCUUUUCUAAGUCGUCUGACGGUACCUUAUGAAUAAGCACCGGCUAACUCCGUGCCAGCAGCCGCCGUAA